Molecule: ribosomal RNA, 468 nt
Filed under: uncultured bacterium
Lineage: Bacteria
Description: partial 16S ribosomal RNA
Rfam family: Bacterial small subunit ribosomal RNA
Source: RNAcentral
GACGAACGCUGGUGGCGUGCUUAACACAUGCAAGUCGAACGGAAGGGCCCUGCUUUUGUGGGGUGCUCGAGUGGCGAACGGGUGAGUAACACGUGAGUAACCUGCCCUUGACUUUGGGAUAACUUCAGGAAACUGGGGCUAAUACCGGAUAGGAGCUCCUGCUGCAUGGUGGGGGUUGGAAAGUUUCGGCGGUUGGGGAUGGACUCGCGGCUUAUCAGCUUGUUGGUGGGGUAGUGGCUUACCAAGGCUUUGACGGGUAGCCGGCCUGAGAGGGUGACCGGCCACAUUGGGACUGAGAUACGGCCCAGACUCCUACGGGAGGCAGCAGUGGGGAAUAUUGCACAAUGGGCGGAAGCCUGAUGCAGCAACGCCGCGUGCGGGAUGACGGCCUUCGGGUUGUAAACCGCUUUCGCCUGUGACGAAGCGUGAGUGACGGUAAUGGGUAAAGAAGCACCGGCUAACUACGUG